CUGAUAGCAAGCUGUACUUGUACAGUGAAGUGGCUGAUACCAUGCUUCCAGGAAAAGUCUCUAAGCUUCAGUUACAUAGGAAUCGUACCCGAAACCGACACAGGUGGUCAGGUCGAGUAGACCAAAGCGCUUGAGAGAACUCUGCUGAAGGAACUAGGCAAAAUGGUACCGUAACUUCGGGAGAAGGUACGCUGCCGACGGUGAUAGGAUUUACUCCUUGAGCUAUUGGCAGCCACAGAAACCAGGCCCCUGCAACUGUUUAUUAAAAACAUAGCACUCUGCAAACACGAAAGUGGACGUAUAGGGUGUGAUGCCUGCCCGGUGCUGGAAGGUUAAUUGAUGGGGUUAGCGUAAGCGAAGCUCUUGAUCGAAGCCCCAGUAAACGGCGGCCGUAACUAUAACGGUCCUAAGGUAGCGAAAUUCCUUGUCGGGUAAGUUCCGACCUGCACGAAUGGCAUAAUGAUGGGGGCGCUGUCUCCAGCAGAGACUCAGUGAAAUCGAAUUCGCCGUGAAGAUGCGGUGUACCCGCGGCUAGACGGAAAGACCCCGUGAACCUUUACUGCAGCUUGACAUUGAACUUUGAUCUUACUUGUGUAGGAUAGGUGGGAGGCUUUGAAACCGAGACGCUAGUUUCGGUGGAGCCAAUCUUGAAAUACCACCCUGGUAAUAUUGAGGUUCUAACUCUGCUCCAUUAUCUGGAGCGAGGACCAUGUCUGGUGGGUAGUUUGACUGGGGCGGUCUCCUCCUAAAGAGUAACGGAGGAGUACGAAGGUGCGCUCAGCGUGGUCGGAAAUCACGCGUAGAGUAUAAAGGCAAAAGCGCGCUUAACUGCGAGACCCACAAGUCGAGCAGGUACGAAAGUAGGUCUUAGUGAUCCGGUGGUUCUGUAUGGAAGGGCCAUCGCUCAACGGAUAAAAGGUACUCUGGGGAUAACAGGCUGAUACCGCCCAAGAGUUCAUAUCGACGGCGGUGUUUGGCACCUCGAUGUCGGCUCAUCUCAUCCUGGGGCUGAAGCAGGUCCCAAGGGUAUGGCUGUUCGCCAUUUAAAGAGGUACGCGAGCUGGGUUUAGAACGUCGUGAGACAGUUCGGUCCCUAUCUACCGUGGGCGUUGGAAAUUUGAGAGGAUCUGCUCCUAGUACGAGAGGACCAGAGUGGACGAACCUCUGGUGUACCGGUUGUGACGCCAGUCGCAUCGCCGGGUAGCUAUGUUCGGAAGGGAUAACCGCUGAAAGCAUCUAAGCGGGAAGCCUACCUCAAGAUAAGAUUUCCCUAGGACUUUAUGUCCUCUAAAGAGCCGUUGAAGACUACGACGUUGAUAGGUUGGAUGUGGAAGCAUAGUGAUAUGUGAAGCUGACCAAUACUAAUUGCUCGUGAGGCUUGACUAUACAACACCCAAACAGUUGG
Molecule: ribosomal RNA, 1405 nt
Filed under: Acinetobacter johnsonii
Lineage: Bacteria; Pseudomonadati; Pseudomonadota; Gammaproteobacteria; Moraxellales; Moraxellaceae
Description: partial 23S ribosomal RNA
Rfam family: Bacterial large subunit ribosomal RNA
Source: RNAcentral